ACAGUGGACGCGAGCAUCUUUGUUAGUAAGUGUUUAAGAGCGUACGGUGGAUGCCUUGGCACCAGGAGCCGAUGAAGGACGUAGGAGGCUGCGAUAAGCCUCGGGGAGCUGUCAACCGAGCUGAGAUCCGAGGAUUUCCGAAUGGGGAAACCCAGCACGAGUGAUGUCGUGUUACCCGCAUCUGAAUAUAUAGGGUGUGUGGAGGGAACGUGGGGAAGUGAAACAUCUCAGUACCCACAGGAAGAGAAAACAACAGUGAUUCCGUGAGUAGUGGCGAGCGAAAGCGGAUGAGGCUAAACCGUGUACAUGUGAUACCCGGCAGGGGUUGUGUAUGCGGUGUUGUGGGGUCUUCUUUCUUGAUUCUGCCGGAUCAGGCGAGAGUAAGAAACCAAGUGGUUAGUCGAAGUGGUCUGGAACGGCCUGUCAUAGAGGGUGAUAAUCCCGUAGACGAAAACUUCUUGGCUCUCGUAGAAGAUACCCGAGUAGCAGCGGGCCCGUGAAAUCUGCUGUGAAUCUGCCGGGACCACCCGGUAAGCCUGAAUACUCCCUGGUGACCGAUAGCGGACUAGUACCGUGAGGGAAAGGUGAAAAGUACCCCGGGAGGGGAGUGAAAUAGUACCUGAAACCGUGCGCUUACAAUCCGUCAAAGCCUUCGCAACUUGUUGUGUGGGGUGAUGGCGUGCCUUUUGAAGAAUGAGCCUGCGAGUCAUCGGUGUGUGGCGAGGUUAACCCGUUGUGGGGUAGCCGUAGCGAAAGCGAGUCCGAAUAGGGCGUUUAGUCGCACAUUAUGGACCCGAAGCGGAGUGAUCUACCCAUGGCCAGGGUGAAGCGACGGUAAGACGUCGUGGAGGCCCGAACCCACUUAGGUUGAAAACUGAGGGGAUGAGCUGUGGGUAGGGGUGAAAGGCCAAUCAAACUCCGUGAUAGCUGGUUCUCCCCGAAAUGCAUUUAGGUGCAGCGUCACGUGUUUCACGCCGGAGGUAGAGCUACUGGAUGGCCUAGGGGGCCUACAAGCUUACCGAAGUCAGCCAAACUCCGAAUGCCGGUGUGUGAGAGCGUGGCAGUGAGACUGCGGGGGAUAAGCUUCGUAGUCGAGAGGGAAACAGCCCAGAUCGCCGGCUAAGGCCCCUAAGCGUGUACUAAGUGGAAAAGGAUGUGGGGUCGCUUAGACAACCAGGAGGUUGGCUUAGAAGCAGCCACCCUUGAAAGAGUGCGUAAUAGCUCACUGGUCAAGUGAUCCUGCGCCGACAAUGUAGCGGGGCUCAAGUACACCGCCGAAGCCGCGGCAUUCACGCAAUAGCCCGUCCUUACUUUCGAGUGAGGGCCAGGUGUGUGGAUGGGUAGGGGAGCGUCCUGUGGCCGUGGAAGCAGCAGUGUGAACUAGCUGUGGAGGCCACGGGAGUGAGAAUGCAGGCAUGAGUAGCGAAAGACGAGUGAGAAACUCGUCCGCCGAAUGACCAAGGGUUCCUGGGCCAGGUUAAUCCGCCCAGGGUGAGUCGGGACCUAAGGCGAGGCCGACAGGCGUAGUCGAUGGACAACGGGUUGAUAUUCCCGUACCCGUGUAUCCGCGCCCAAUGCUGAAUCAGUUGUGCUAAGUAUCCAAAUGUUGUUUUACCGAGCCUUCGGGCGAGGGGGAUGACGGCUGCAUACGACCCUGGCUGUAGUAGGUAAGCGAUGGGGUGACGCAGGAAGGUAGCUGGGCCAGGUGAUGGAAUACCUGGUGUAAGCGUGUAGGGCGCAACAUAGGCAAAUCCGUGUUGCACAUAGCCUGAGACGUGAUGCGUACCCGUUGAGGGGAAUUCAGUGAUCCUAUGCUGCCGAGAAAAGCCUCUAGCGAGCUGGUACACGGCCCGUACCCCAAACCGACACAGGUGGUCAGGUAGAGAAUACUAAGGCGAUCGAGAGAACUGUGGUUAAGGAACUCGGCAAAAUGCCCCCGUAACUUCGGGAGAAGGGGGACCUGGUCUGGUGACGUUCUUUACGGACUGAGCUGGGCGAGGUCGCAGAGACCAGAGAGAAGCGACUGUUUACUAAAAACACAGGUCCGUGCGAAGUCGUAAGACGAUGUAUACGGACUGACGCCUGCCCGGUGCCGGAAGGUUAAGAGGACCGGUUAGCCUGUUAUGGGCGAAGCUGAGAAUUUAAGCCCCGGUAAACGGCGGUGGUAACUAUAACCAUCCUAAGGUAGCGAAAUUCCUUGUCGGGUAAGUUCCGACCUGCACGAAUGGCGUAACGACUUCUCUGCUGUCUCAACCACAGACUCGGCGAAAUUGCAUUACGAGUAAAGAUGCUCGUUACGCGCGGCAGGACGAAAAGACCCCGGGACCUUCACUAUAGCUUGGUAUUGGUGUUCGGUACGGUUUGUGUAGGAUAGGUGGGAGACUGUGAAGCUCGGACGCUAGUUCGGGUGGAGUCGUCGUUGAAAUACCACUCUGAUCGUAUUGGACUUCUAACCUCGGACCAUGAUCUGGUUCAGGGACAGUGCCUGGUGGGUAGUUUAACUGGGGCGGUUGCCUCCUAAAAUGUAACGGAGGCGCCCAAAGGUUCCCUCAGCCUGGUUGGCAAUCAGGUGUUGAGUGCAAGUGCACAAGGGAGCUUGACUGUGAGACUGACAGGUCGAGCAGGGACGAAAGUCGGGACUAGUGAUCCGGCACCGGCAAGUGGAAGCGGUGUCGCUCAACGGAUAAAAGGUACCCCGGGGAUAACAGGCUGAUCUUCCCCAAGAGUCCAUAUCGACGGGAUGGUUUGGCACCUCGAUGUCGGCUCGUCGCAUCCUGGGGCUGGAGUAGGUCCCAAGGGUUGGGCUGUUCGCCCAUUAAAGCGGCACGCGAGCUGGGUUUAGAACGUCGUGAGACAGUUCGGUCUCUAUCCGCCGCGCGCGUAAGAAACUUGAGGAAGGCUGUCCCUAGUACGAGAGGACCGGGACGGACGAACCUCUGGUGUGCCAGUUGUUCCGCCAGGAGCACUGCUGGUUGGCUACGUUCGGAAGGGAUAACCGCUGAAAGCAUCUAAGCGGGAAGCCUGUUCCAAGAUGAGGUUUCUCUCCCACUUGAUGGGUUAAGGCCCCCUACAGACCAUGGGGUUGAUAGGCCAGAAUUGGAAGCCAGGUAACUGGUGUAGGUGACUGGUACUAAUAGGCCGAGGGCUUACUUAC
Molecule: ribosomal RNA, 3154 nt
Filed under: Nocardia sp.
Lineage: Bacteria; Bacillati; Actinomycetota; Actinomycetes; Mycobacteriales; Nocardiaceae
Description: 23S ribosomal RNA
Rfam family: Bacterial large subunit ribosomal RNA
Source: RNAcentral